RNAcentral lists this ribosomal RNA (420 nucleotides) under Fusobacteriota bacterium. Its description in RNAcentral is "Fusobacteria bacterium partial 16S ribosomal RNA". It matches the Rfam family "Bacterial small subunit ribosomal RNA", at positions 355 to 776 of the family's 1533-position model. The record is from RNAcentral. Lineage: Bacteria; Fusobacteriati; Fusobacteriota.
UGGGGGAUAUUGCACAAUGGGCGAAAGCCUGAUGCAGCGACGCCGCGUGGGGGAUGAAGGCCUUCGGGUUGUAAACUUCUUUUGCUCUGAACAAGGCAUGCCUUGGGGGUGUGUUGAGUGUAGGGGUUGAUUAGCGCCGGCUAACUACGUGCCAGCAGCCGCGGUAAUACGCAGGGCGCGAGCGUUGUCCGGAAUUAUUGGGCGUAAAGGGCUUGUAGGUGGCUGGUUGCGUCUGUCGUGAAAGCUCAUGGCUUAACUGUGGGUUUGCGGUGGGUACGGGCUGGCUUGAGUGCAGUAGGGGAGGCUGGAAUUCCUGGUGUAGCGGUGGAAUGCGCAGAUAUCAGGAGGAAUACCGGUGGCGAAGGCGGGUCUCUGGGCUGUUACUGACGCUGAGGAGCGAAAGCGUGGGGAGCGAACAGG